Molecule: ribosomal RNA, 449 nt
Filed under: uncultured bacterium
Lineage: Bacteria
Description: partial 16S ribosomal RNA
Rfam family: Bacterial small subunit ribosomal RNA
Source: RNAcentral
AACGAACGCUGGCGGCAGGCUUAACACAUGCAAGUCGAGCGCAUCCUUCGGGGUGAGCGGCAGACGGGUGAGUAACGCGUGGGAACGUACCCUUUCCUACGGAAUAGCUCCGGGAAACUGGGAUUAAUACCGUAUACGCCCUUAGGGGGAAAGAUUUAUCGGGGAAGGAUCGGCCCGCGUUGGAUUAGCUAGUUGGUGGGGUAAAGGCCUACCAAGGCGACGAUCCAUAGCUGGUCUGAGAGGAUGAUCAGCCACAUUGGGACUGAGACACGGCCCAGACUCCUCCGGGAGGCAGCAGUGGGGAAUAUUGGACAAUGGGCGCAAGCCUGAUCCAGCCAUGCCGCGUGAGUGAUGAAGGCCUUAGGGUUGUAAAGCUCUUUCAGUAGGGAAGAUAAUGACGGUACCUACAGAAGAAGCCCCGGCUAACUUCGUGCCAGCAGCCGCGGUAA